RNAcentral lists this ribosomal RNA (252 nucleotides) under uncultured bacterium. RNAcentral's name for it is "partial 16S ribosomal RNA". It matches the Rfam family "Bacterial small subunit ribosomal RNA", at positions 524 to 776 of the family's 1533-position model. The record is from RNAcentral.
UACAGAGGGUGCUAGCGUUGUUCGGAAUUACUGGGCGUAAAGGGCGCGUAGGCGGCAUGGCAAGUCGGGAGUGAAAGGCCUGGGCUCAACCGAGGAACUGCUUUCGAGACUGCCAAGCUAGAGUGCGGAAGGGGCAUCUGGAAUUCCCAGUGUAGCGGUGAAAUGCGUAGAUAUUGGGAAGAACACCUGAGGCGAAGGCGGGAUGCUGGCCGACACUGACGCUGAGGCGCGAAAGCCAGGGGAGCAAACGGG